CAGCAGCCACGGUAAUACAGAGGGUGCAAGCGUUAAUCGGAAUUACUGGGCGUAAAGCGCGCGUAGGUGGUUUGUUAAGUUGGAUGUGAAAGCCCCGGGCUCAACCUGGGAACUGCAUCCAAAACUGGCAAGCUAGAGUACGGUAGAGGGUGGUGGAAUUUCCUGUGUAGCGGUGAAAUGCGUAGAUAUAGGAAGGAACACCAGUGGCGAAGGCGACCACCUGGACUGAUACUGACACUGAUGUGCGAAAGCGUGGGGAGCAAACAGGAUUAGAUACCCCGGUAGUCCCUGUCUCUUAUAC
This 301-nucleotide ribosomal RNA is filed under the name uncultured bacterium. Its description in RNAcentral is "partial 16S ribosomal RNA". It matches the Rfam family "Bacterial small subunit ribosomal RNA", at positions 509 to 807 of the family's 1533-position model. The record is from RNAcentral.